RNAcentral lists this ribosomal RNA (253 nucleotides) under uncultured bacterium. RNAcentral describes it as "partial 16S ribosomal RNA". It matches the Rfam family "Bacterial small subunit ribosomal RNA", at positions 524 to 776 of the family's 1533-position model. The record is from RNAcentral.
UACGUAGGGGGCUAGCGUUGUCCGGAAUCAUUGGGCGUAAAGCGCGUGUAGGCGGCCUGGUAAGUCCGCUGUGAAAGUCGGGGGCUCAACCCUCGGAUGCCGGUGGAUACUGUCGGGCUCGAGUACGGAAGAGGCGAGUGGAAUUCCUGGUGUAGCGGUGAAAUGCGCAGAUAUCAGGAGGAACACCGAUUGCGAAGGCAGCUCGCUGGGACGUGACUGACGCUGAGACGCGAAAGCGUGGGGAGCAAACAGG